GCGGAUGUGGCGGAAUUGGUAGACGUGCUAGAUUCAGAGUCUAGUGCCCUUAUGGGCGUGGAGGUUCGAGUCCUCUCAUCCGCA
Molecule: transfer RNA, 84 nt
Filed under: Bacteroidia bacterium
Lineage: Bacteria; Pseudomonadati; Bacteroidota; Bacteroidia
Description: tRNA-Leu
Rfam family: tRNA
About the family: Transfer RNA (tRNA) molecules are approximately 80 nucleotides in length.
Source: RNAcentral